CACAGUUUGGUUUAAUGGUUUGAGUGCUGGACUGUAACUCUGGUAACCAGGGUUCAAACCCCUGCUGAGG
Molecule: non-coding RNA, 70 nt
Organism: Phrynosoma platyrhinos (Desert horned lizard)
Lineage: Eukaryota; Metazoa; Chordata; Lepidosauria; Squamata; Phrynosomatidae
Source: the annotation of a GenBank genome assembly